AUUGAACGCUGGCGGCAGGCCUAACACAUGCAAGUCGGACGGUAACAGGAAGCAGCUUGCUGCUUCGCUGACGAGUGGCGGACGGGUGAGUAAAGUCUGGGAAACUGCCUGAUGGGGGGGGAUAACUACUGGAAACGGUAGCUAAUACCGCAUAACGUCGCAAGACCAAAGAGGGGGACCUUCGGGCCUCUUGCCAUCAGAUGAGCCCAGAUGGGAUUAGCUGGUAGGUGGGGUAACGGCUCACCUAGGCGACGAUCCCUAGCUGGUCUGAGAGGAUGACCAGCCACACUGGAACUGAGACACGGUCCAGACUCCUACGGGAGGCAGCAGUGGGGAAUAUUGCACAAUGGGCGCAAGCCUGAUGCAGCCAUGCCGCGUGUAUGAAGAAGGCCUUCGGGUUGUAAAGUACUUUCAGCGAGGAGGAAGGUGUUGUGGUUAAUAACCGCAGCAAUUGACGUUACUCGCAGAAGAAGCACCGGCUAACUCCGUGCCAGCAGCCGCCGUAA
Molecule: ribosomal RNA, 506 nt
Filed under: uncultured bacterium
Lineage: Bacteria
Description: partial 16S ribosomal RNA
Rfam family: Bacterial small subunit ribosomal RNA
Source: RNAcentral